RNAcentral lists this unclassified non-coding RNA (357 nucleotides) under soil metagenome. RNAcentral's name for it is "partial contains 5.8S ribosomal RNA, internal transcribed spacer 2, and large subunit ribosomal RNA". The stretch from base 1 to 120 matches the Rfam family "5.8S ribosomal RNA", at positions 35 to 154 of the family's 154-position model. The record is from RNAcentral.
GAUGAAGAACGUAGCGAAAUGCGAUAAGUAAUGUGAAUUGCAGAAUUCAGUGAAUCAUCGAAUCUUUGAACGCACAUUGCGCCCGCUGGUAUUCCGGCGGGCAUGCCUGUUCGAGCGUCAUUUCAACCCUCAAGCUCUCCGGAGUUUGGUGUUGGGGCGCCUGAGGCUUUUCGACCUCAGGGCCCUCAAGUCCAUCGGCGGGACCGCCAGGACACUGAGCGCAGUAGUAUUAUUUCGCUCGGUAGGAUCUUCCACGGCGGGUCGAUCUGGCCGCUAAACCCCCCAAUUCUCACCAAAGGUUGACCUCGGAUCAGGUAGGAAUACCCGCUGAACUUAAGCAUAUCAAUAAGCGGAGGA